GAUGAACGCUGGCGGCGUGCCUAAUACAUGCAAGUCGAGCGAACGGACGAGAAGCUUGCUUCUCUGAUGUUAGCGGCGGACGGGUGAGUAACACGUGGAUAACCUACCUAUAAGACUGGGAUAACUUCGGGAAACCGGAGCUAAUACCGGAUAAUAUUUUGAACCGCAUGGUUCAAAAGUGAAAGACGGUCUUGCUGUCACUUAUAGAUGGAUCCGCGCUGCAUUAGCUAGUUGGUAAGGUAACGGCUUACCAAGGCAACGAUGCAUAGCCGACCUGAGGGGGUGAUCGGCCACACUGGAACUGAGACACGGUCCAGACUCCUACGGGAGGCAGCAGUAGGGAAUCUUCCGCAAUGGGCGAAAGCCUGACGGAGCAACGCCGCGUGAGCGAUGAAGGUCUUCGGAUCGUAAAACUCUGUUAUUAGGGAAGAACAUAUGUGUAAGUAACUGUGCACAUCUUGACGGUACCUAAUCAGAAAGCCACGGCUAACUACGU
This 496-nucleotide ribosomal RNA is filed under the name uncultured bacterium. RNAcentral describes it as "partial 16S ribosomal RNA". It matches the Rfam family "Bacterial small subunit ribosomal RNA", at positions 28 to 506 of the family's 1533-position model. The record is from RNAcentral.